AUAUAAUAAUUUGUAUUAUUUACAAAAUAAGUAUCUCAAUUCUUGACAUAUGUUUAUUUGUUAUUUCUACUGAUUAUGUUCUGAGAUCUCUGAUUUAUCAACUGCGUGUAAAAAUGAAUAUUUAAGAACCCUAACUCUGAUAAACAUAUUUUACUGAUGCUUUAAUUUAAUAAUCUCGUCCCUACUGUUUUAUAAUUAAUAAAUGUAAUAACAUCAGCCGUAUUGUUAAAAAAUUAGGAUAUUCAUAUUACAUAAAUUGCUCGAUCACGUCAUAUCAACCUAAACCAUUGAAUCUUUAAUCUAACCUAAUUAAUGUAAUUCAGAUUAAUGUCCUAUGAGAUAAGUGAUCUGUAUUAUAAUAGAUACAUAAUGUAGGUUAGGACAGAGCUAAUAAAGUUGUCCUAAGUGAUCCAUCGGUUUUGUAGCUACAUGAAAGAAUAAGUGAUUGGAAAUCGAGUGUAAACAUCUAUCGAAGUUAGUAAGGUUACUAAACGUAAACAAGUUUCUCCCUUGCUGUUACAUGAACAAAAGAAAAUAAUCUCGGGAAUUUCGUACAACAAGGAUAAUAAUAUAUAUCUACAUAUAUCAUAAAUAUCGAUACUUUUCACUUUCCAAUUUCUAUUUCCGUUCAAAAGGCCCGGGCAUGAUAUUGAGAAGUGACAACCAAUCACGUGUAACGUUACUUUGGAAAUCCUCAAAUUUCAUUGGCCGAGCACCCACAAUCCACUACGGAGAGGCAGGAAGCCGAGAAGAAGACGUCCUUUCGCUCGGCGGUAAUUGAAGAGACUAGAUGUGUCGUGUCGAUCGGUGAUCCGGCAAUUAAUAGGAUCUGACGCCACGAGUCUGCGUGAUAUUCCCUAACAGCCAUCUUACGUUUAAACUUCAUCUACUGUACGUUUGAAAAAUUGUGCAGCUUAUCGGGGAAAGCAGAAUAAUAGAUUUCAUACAUCAUCGAAGAAAAGUACUCCGAUGAUCAGCGACAGCAGAGCCACUCCGAUGAUAAGCGACAGCAGAGCUACUCUGAUGAUAAGCGACAGCAGAGCUACUCCGAUGAUCAGUGACUGCAAAGCCACUACGAUGUUCUGUAUGAAGACAACGGUUGGGUAGAGUUGCGUACGGAGACCAGCUGCGAGUGUCAUUAGUGUUGCGUAUAAAUGAAUCGCGACCGAUUUGUUUUGUAAAUUCACGCGUUUUGAAUUAGUAUUUCGUCGUAUGAAAAGCCCAAAAUUUGACACCACCAACACUUCAAGAAUCACCAAGCAGCCAAAGUGGCUGCCACUAUGAUUCUUCGCACCCUGAGAUGGCUGCACUGGAUUUUUAAUUAGGGAUUCGUAUUACUUGGUGCACGCGAUUUGUUCUUUAUAUACGUAAUAGAUUAGCGUUUCGAAUAAUGAUGGACCUCGCGAUUGCUUUUGAUUACUACUUUUUGCGUUUUCUUUCAGGGUAGUGUUGCGAAUAACUAUGAAUCGCGUUUGCUAUUAGUGUUGCGUCUGAUAAAUCGCGUCCGUUUUGGUAUCUUGGUUUGGUAACUUGGUACUUUCAGUUAAGGCUAGAACGGAAAAAGAAGACCAUCUACGGAUUGUUUUGCUAUAUUUGAAGAAUAGAGAACGUUUCUUCUGUUGCAGAAAUCAUCGUGGAGUUAAUACAGGGUGGCCAGGGUGUGGUUUUUGUCUUGGCCAGCCAAUUUGGAUCUCCAUAUGCAGUAACCUCCACGUGGUGAGACCCGGACCGUCUACAUUAUUUGAAGUAUGUAAUUGCUAACUGCACAUCGCCAGUAAGGGUCAGAUGACAUUAUCAAUUCCAUACCAAGUAAUAUGAGCUACUGGCUGGAAUCUUUCUCAUUUACAAGUAAAUGAAAAUAUGGUAACUUGCAAUUAGAAUCAACGCAUAUUGAUACUAUUAUUAUUAUAAAAGUCUAUAGUAUUAUAUAUAAGACAUAAUGAAUAAUUUUUAUUCAUAUUUUUAUUCAAGCUAUAUAAGUUAGGGAACGUGCACCCGCAGUUCAAAGGAUUUUUGUCUUUUCAAAAAAUAUAAUUUUUGAAAUGACGGAAAUCUUUCAAAUUGUGUCUGCACUUUCUCUGAUCGGUACAUUACCAACAUGUCGGUAAAUACUGAGGAAGCGCCAUCUACCGGUGGCAGCUUCAAUUAUUUUACUACAAACUUGGGCAUUUUUCGGAUAGAGGCGCUGAUCAAACUUCGAAAAUAUAAAUAUAGCCCUCAGGGGCUGUAGCGAGUUCUUGUAAGCUACAGUACGGGCUUAACAACCCCGAGGUACCCGAGCUAGAGAGGGGGGCCAGCGGACCCCUAGAGAAUAUGUGGAACAAAUGUAUGAAGGAUUGUCGAUGCGAUGUGUAAAUGUACCUUGGGUCAAGAGACCUUGAAAAAUGUAAAAGAAAAGUGUAAAACAGUUCCGUACGGAACUACACUAUAAAUAAAUGAUAAAGAAAGAAUAUAAAUGCAUAUUACUGCAGCUAACUUGGAGUUAUGAAAGAUACUAGAUUAAACAGAGAAUUAAAAAGCGUAUUUUUUUGUUGUUGCUUGUUGGACCAAUUAGAAUAUAUAUAUCACAGAAAAUAAGAUAAGUAUAGGAAAUAGGAACCAGAUAGAAUGUAAGGAAAAUGAAAAGCAAGGACCAGAAGGUUUCUAAAGAUAGAGAGAAAUGAGAUAAGGGCGUACUUUGUAUAUAGUAGUUUUUAUUCGAAGAAACAAAAUAUGUUAAGUUCUAGGGAUGUAACAUAAGUGUAAGCAGCCUCAUCCUGUACAAUAGUAUUUAACAAGAUAUAUAUUAGAGUAGUUUUAUGAGAAUAGUUGUAAUACCUCGAAAAUGCGCUAAAUCGACAAUAGGAUCGAUUAAAUUAAAAAAUGUAUUGUUAAAAACACUAGUGUAAGACAUUGAAUGUAAUCUAGGUUAUAAGAAUACGUAAACAUAUUUUUGGGUCAAGAGACCAUAUUUUAUUGUACAAGAAAAGUGAAAAACAGUCCUGGACUUUAUUUUAUACUAUGUAGAGAUGAACUAGUAUUUACAAAAAUGUGUAAUUAUGUUUAUAUGGGAUACAAUUCGAUUAGUCAAUAUUCA
Molecule: long non-coding RNA, 3076 nt
Organism: Hylaeus anthracinus
Lineage: Eukaryota; Metazoa; Arthropoda; Insecta; Hymenoptera; Colletidae
Exons: 6
Source: RefSeq, a predicted model, not a curated record